GAGAGAGAGAGAGAGAGAGAGAGAGAGAGAGAAAAUAGAGAGGAGAAAAGGUUGACAGAAGGAGACAGAAAAGGGAACGGUGAGAUGAAGAUAGAUAGAGUGUGAGAGAGACACACGAAGAGAGAAGCAACGAGACAGCAAGAACGAGAGAGAGGCAAAGAGACAGGAGCAAAGAGGGAGAUAGAGAGAUAGAUACAGAGAGAGAUAUAUACAGAGAGAGAGAUACAGAGAGAGAUAUACAGAGAGAGAUAUACAGAGAGAGAUAGAUACAGAGAGAGACAGAUACAGAGAGAGACGUACAGAGAGAGAUGUACAGAGAGAGACAGAUACAGAGAGACAGAUACAGAGAGAGAUAUAUACAGAGAGAGAUACAGAGAGAUAUACAGAGAGAUGUACAGAGAGAUAUGUACAGAGAGAGAUGUACAGAGAGAGAUAUACAGAGAGAGAUAUACAGAGAGAUAUACAGAGAGAGAUGUACAGAGAGAGAUAUACAGAGAGAGAUAUACAGAGAGAGAGAUAGAGAGAUACAGA
Ictalurus punctatus (channel catfish) is the source of this 531-nucleotide long non-coding RNA. NCBI's taxonomy places the organism in Eukaryota, Metazoa, Chordata, Actinopteri, Siluriformes, Ictaluridae. The record is from Ensembl.